This 378-nucleotide unclassified non-coding RNA is filed under the name Hevea brasiliensis (rubber tree). Lineage: Eukaryota; Viridiplantae; Streptophyta; Magnoliopsida; Malpighiales; Euphorbiaceae. The record is from RNAcentral.
AUUAUAAGGUCCUUGCCCACAGCAUGCAACCUUGGAUGUCACAAAUCCAUAUGCUUGAGGGUUGGUAACGAAAUCCAGGCUCAUUUCAUUUGCAUUUACAGCUAUAAAAAUGUCCGAUCCAAUUUCACGAUUCAGUCUAUUUAACAUUUGUACAAGCUGCGGGUUGAACAAGCCGGUUGCUCUCUGCAAUUCGAUGGAGCAUUCUCCGUUUCUGCCCCUCAUAGCUCUCUCCGCCGGAACACAGCCUAAAGGUCCCGUGCCGGUCACUAAAACUCUGCGUGCACCCAGCUCGUAUACCCUAGUUAGAAUUUUUCGGUACUCGGAGAUGAGAUAGACCACAUAAUUUGGUAAGGAAAAUUGGCGAGAUCUAGCAGAGAA